RNAcentral lists this ribosomal RNA (497 nucleotides) under uncultured bacterium. RNAcentral's name for it is "partial 16S ribosomal RNA". It matches the Rfam family "Bacterial small subunit ribosomal RNA", at positions 28 to 507 of the family's 1533-position model. The record is from RNAcentral.
GAUGAACGCUGGCGGCGUGCCUAAUACAUGCAAGUCGAGCGAACAGAUAAGGAGCUUGCUCCUUUGACGUUAGCGGCGGACGGGUGAGUAACACGUGGGUAACCUACCUAUAAGACUGGAAUAACUCCGGGAAACCGGGGCUAAUGCCGGAUAACAUUUAGAACCGCAUGGUUCUAAAGUGAACGAUGGUUUUGCUAUCACUUAUAGAUGGACCCGCGCCGUAUUAGCUAGCUGGUAAGGUAACGGCUUACCAAGGCAACGAUACGUAGCCGACCUGAGAGGGUGAUCGGCCACACUGGAACUGAGACACGGUCCAGACUCCUACGGGAGGCAGCAGUAGGGAAUCUUCCGCAAUGGGCGAAAGCCUGACGGAGCAACGCCGCGUGAGUGAUGAAGGUCUUCGGAUCGUAAAACUCUGUUAUUAGGGAAGAACAAAUGUGUAAGUAACUGUGCACGUCUUGACGGUACCUAAUCAGAAAGCCACGGCUAACUACGUG